AAGAUUUUAAGUUAUAAUUAAUUAAACUUUAAACCUUCAAAGUUUAAUAAAUAAAAUAUUUUUAUAAAUCUUA
This 73-nucleotide transfer RNA is filed under the name Acropyga pallida. Its description in RNAcentral is "tRNA-Trp". Lineage: Eukaryota; Metazoa; Arthropoda; Insecta; Hymenoptera; Formicidae. The record is from RNAcentral.